This 496-nucleotide ribosomal RNA is filed under the name Bacillus sp. R1_8_cr. RNAcentral's name for it is "bacterial SSU rRNA". It matches the Rfam family "Bacterial small subunit ribosomal RNA", at positions 13 to 480 of the family's 1533-position model. Lineage: Bacteria; Bacillati; Bacillota; Bacilli; Caryophanales; Bacillaceae. The record is from RNAcentral.
UUGAUCCUGGCUCAGGACGAACGCUGGCGGCGUGCCUAAUACAUGCAAGUCGAGCGCAGGAAACUGACGGAACUCUUCGGAGGGAAGGCAGUGGAAUGAGCGGCGGACGGGUGAGUAACACGUAAGGAACCUGCCUCAAGGAUUGGGAUAACUCCGAGAAAUCGGAGCUAAUACCGGAUAGUUCAACGGACCGCAUGGUCCGCUGAUGAAAGGCGCUCCGGCGUCACCUUGAGAUGGCCUUGCGGUGCAUUAGCUAGUUGGUGGGGUAACGGCCCACCAAGGCGACGAUGCAUAGCCGACCUGAGAGGGUGAUCGGCCACACUGGGACUGAGACACGGCCCAGACUCCUACGGGAGGCAGCAGUAGGGAAUCUUCCACAAUGGACGAAAGUCUGAUGGAGCAACGCCGCGUGAGUGAUGAAGGUUUUCGGAUCGUAAAACUCUGUUGUAAGGGAAGAACACGUACGAGAGUUAAUGUUCGUACCUUGACGGUACCU